GUUGUUUACUUGACUGGGUUUGUUUAGAGGCUGCCGGUUAGCAGAUGAAAGGCUGACAAACUCCUAUCCAGCUGCUUCAAGAUCACCAUGGACCAGUUUCUCUCAGCCUUGAGAGAAAGGGGUGUUCCUGAGGAGAACCUGGCAAGAAUGGCAGAGGACAAGGUUUCAUCAAGGGAACAUGUUUUUCCGGACGUGGAACAAUCAAGAGGGCCGUGACGAUGGAGCUGCAGAGAAUCCCUGGAGAAUCCUUCCAGGAGUGCAUGGAAGUGUAGAAGGAUGGGAAAGUGUGUUAGAUUCGAGGGGGAUUAUUCUGAAGGGGAAAACUUGUAGUUUGUAGUUUAGAUUUGAAAUACAUUUUUUGUGACCCCAGUCCUGUUUCUUUUCUGAAGCACCUUGUAUGUUGGCCUUUAUGCAUUUCAUUUAUAUGCCAAUUUUGAGAAAUGAUUUUGUUUUGCUUAAUUUGAUUUAGAAUAGUGCAGUGCCCCUCCCAAUAGGACCCUGCACUUUCCCGGGUCCAAGUUCAUGUUAUUUAAAUGAAAGCACUGACUUAUGAGUUUGCAAU
Long non-coding RNA from Epinephelus lanceolatus (giant grouper), 562 nucleotides. RefSeq lists it as uncharacterized. The record is from RefSeq and is a predicted model, not a curated record. NCBI's taxonomy places the organism in Eukaryota, Metazoa, Chordata, Actinopteri, Perciformes, Serranidae.